This 791-nucleotide ribosomal RNA is filed under the name uncultured bacterium. RNAcentral describes it as "bacterial SSU rRNA". It matches the Rfam family "Bacterial small subunit ribosomal RNA", at positions 8 to 796 of the family's 1533-position model. The record is from RNAcentral.
AGAGUUUGAUCCUGGCUCAGAUUGAACGCUGGCGGCAUGCCUUACACAUGCAAGUCGAACGGUAACAGCUCUUCGGAGGCUGACGAGUGGCGAACGGGUGAGUAAUACAUCGGAACGUGCCCGAUCGUGGGGGAUAACGGAGCGAAAGCUUUGCUAAUACCGCAUACGAUCUACGGAUGAAAGCAGGGGAUCGCAAGACCUUGCGCUGAUUGAGCGGCCGAUAUCAGAUUAGCUAGUUGGUGAGGUAAAGGCUCACCAAGGCGACGAUCUGUAGCGGGUCUGAGAGGAUGAUCCGCCACACUGGAACUGAGACACGGUCCAGACUCCUACGGGAGGCAGCAGUGGGGAAUUUUGGACAAUGGGGGCAACCCUGAUCCAGCCAUGCCGCGUGAGUGAAGAAGGCCUUCGGGUUGUAAAGCUCUUUCGGCCGGGAAGAAAUCGCAUGGGUUAAUACCCUGUGCGGAUGACGGUACCGGCAUAAGAAGCACCGGCUAACUACGUGCCAGCAGCCGCGGUAAUACGUAGGGUGCGAGCGUUAAUCGGAAUUACUGGGCGUAAAGCGUGCGCAGGCGGUUUGUUAAGACAGGCGUGAAAUCCCCGGGCUCAACCUGGGAACUGCGCUUGUGACUGGCAGGCUAGAGUACGGCAGAGGGGGGUGGAAUUCCACGUGUAGCAGUGAAAUGCGUAGAGAUGUGGAGGAACACCAAUGGCGAAGGCAGCCCCCUGGGUCGAUACUGACGCUCAUGCACGAAAGCGUGGGUAGCAAACAGGAUUAGAUACCCUGGUAGUCC